UCAGAGGUCAGAGAGCUGAUAGCGCCGCACCAGGCCAUCUCGGCAGCAUGUGUAGAUCUGCUUCUCCCACGUGGCUACCUGGAAUACCAGAGUCACAGCUCACAAAGGGCUACAUCAUGCAAAGGGAUGGUGACUCACCUUGGACUCCUCACAUCCAGCUGAUAAAUGUUUCCAUCCUGUGUCCCAGCUAAGAGCAAGAAGCCAGAGAGAAAAGUACAGCAGUUGAAGGCAUCUGAGCCAAUAAAGAGGAAUACCUGGGAACAAGUAGGAGACAAAAAUGCUGUUAAAGCUUAAUUUGUUUCCAGAAAUAAACAGGCACCAAAAAAUAAAAAUUUUACUAUUUUUA
Molecule: long non-coding RNA, 346 nt
Organism: Pipistrellus kuhlii (Kuhl's pipistrelle)
Lineage: Eukaryota; Metazoa; Chordata; Mammalia; Chiroptera; Vespertilionidae
Exons: 2
Source: RefSeq, a predicted model, not a curated record